AAGCCAGUGGGAAUGGGCACCUGGCCAUAAGUCAGAGAAGGGGAAGGAGAGUUACUUUAUUCUCUUCUGGUGCCAGUAAGAACUUUAUCAAGGUACUAGUGCCAUCAGCUCCUGCCCAAGGGCACCCAGGGCCCCAGGUCAGCAUGACGGAUUUAAGACACAUUACGUUCUGGGAAGACGGCUAGGAAGGUAGGUCAGCCCCACAGGGGAGAGGACACUGCAUGUCCAGAUGGGGGCACGCAAAAUGAUACCUCCACCCUCUAAGCCCUGGAAUCUGUGAAUGUGACCUCACUUGAUAAAAGGGCCUUUGCACAUGUAAUUAAACUAAGGAUAUCAAAAUGAGAUUAUCCUAGGUUUCAGGCGGGUCCUACCUUCAACGACAAUCCAACCUCUUACAACAUAAAAACAGGGAGAUUGGAGACAGACAUGGGGAGAAGGCCAUGUGAAGACGGAGGCAGGAACUCCUGUGAUGCGGCCACAAGCCACAGAGGGCCUGGAGCCACCAGGAGCUGGAAGAGGCAGGAGGGAUCCUCCCCUAGCACCUGUGAAGGGAACAGGGUCCUGCCCACACCUUUAUUUUUGACUUUUGGCCUCCAGAAUUGUAACGAAUACAUUUCUGUUGUUUGAAGCCAUGCAGUGUGUAUAAAUUUGCUACUGCGGUCAGGCCGGGCGCGGUGGCUCACGCCUGUAAUCCCAGCACUUUGGGAGGCCGAGGCGGGAAGAUCACGAGGUCAGGAGAUCGAGACCAUCCUGGCUAACAUGGUGAAACCGCAUCUCUACCAAAAAUAAAAAAAAUUAAAAAAUAAAAUUUUUACUGCAGUCACAAAGAACUAGUACACUGCCCUUCUUGGUGGUGGGUCCCGGGCUCUCCGAGGUCCCCCAGGGUCAAGGUUGGCUUUCUGAUACCAGUCCUAGGCUGCUGGAGAAGAGCCCACUGAGAAAGAAUUUUCGCCUGAUUACCUGAGCUCAGGCCACCUAGGGAACAAAGAGAACUUUAUUAAGUUGUAGAGGCUGCACAGAAACUGGCAGGUGGGGUGCAGGCAAAGCUGGAGAGAACAGGAGCUUCCUCUCAGGGCCCAGCCCGGGUGGGGGUGGGGGAAGCUCUCCUGUCCCAUGGGGAUGACUUCACAGCCCUUGCAUGUGACCCUUGGGUCCAGUAUCGAUCCCCACCACUGCUUCCCUGGUGCGCACAGCCAGCCCGACCCCUGGAUCUGUUUCAGUUGAAAAUUUGACUUCUGAAGACUUUUCAAAGGCCGGGCGCAGUGGCUUAUGCCUGUAAUCCCAGCAGUUUGGGAGACGGGCGGAUCACCUGAGGUCUGGAGUUUGAGACCAGCCUGACCAAAAUGGAGAAACCCCGUCUCUACUAAAAAUAGAAAAUUAGCUGGGCGUGGUGGCGCAUGCCUGUAAACUCAGCUACUCAGGAGGCUGAGGCAGGAGAAUCGCUUGAACCCAGGAGGCGGAGGCUGUGGUGAGCCGAGAUUAUGCCAUUGCACUCCAGCCUGGGCAACAAGAACGAAACUCCGUCUCAAAAAAAAAAAAAAAAAAAAAAAGACUUUUGCGGCAGGAUCAGAAUUUUCAAGAGCCAUACACUGAGGAUGGCCUUAGCCAUGGCAUCCAGACCCUUUAUUUAUAAGAGAAAUGAAAUAUUUGGAUAUAGUUAAAGCACUUUAAACUUUUUUUUUUUUUUUUGAGACGGAGUUUAGCUCUUGUUGCCUAGGCUGGAGUGCAAUGGCACCAUCUCGGCUCACCCCAACCUCCGCCUCCCGGGUUCAAGCGAUUCUCCUGCCUCAGCCUCCCGAGUAGCUGGGAUUACAGGCAUGUGCCACCACGCCCGGCUAAUUUUGUAUUUUUAGUAGAGACAGGGUUUCUCCAUGUUGGUCAGGCUGGUCUCAAACUCCUGACCUCAGGUGAUCCGCCAGCCUCAGCCUCCCAAAGUGCUGGGAUUAUAGGCGGGAGCCACCGCGCCCGGCCCAGCACUUUAAACUUUUGUUUUCAUACCCUUGAUCCCCAUUUCCUUGGACACGUGCUGUGGGCCCCGCCCGCUGCCCUGAUCACUAGCCAGGUUAUCAGCCCAGGGGACGGGUUACAUUCUCAAAUAACCUAGCAAGAGGCCUGCUGGAGGGCAGCAGGGGAAAAUGGAAGACCCGAAUCUUUAGACAAGUCUAUUUUCAGACUCGCUCCUUUCUCUACCAAACCUGAGCUGCUUCCGAUUCUCCUUCUCUCUUCCCCAAACUGGGCUCUAACCCCCGUCCUCUGAAUCCAUGCCCGGGGAAGGUGGCUACGGGCACUGGCCCUGUCGGGGGCUGCCUACUCACCCGCCGCGGGAGGGGCCAGGUGGCUUUUUUGGGGACUGAGCCCCUCACUCUGGCGCCCAGGCUACAUUGCAGUGGCGCGGUCUUGGCUCAGUGAAGCCUCGACCUGCCGGACUAAAGCAGUUCUCCCGCCUCAGCCUCCCCAAGUAGCCGGGACUACAGGUGCACGCCACCACACCCGGCUAAUUAUUAUGGUCUUUAAAUUUAAAAAAAAAAUUUUUUUUAGACGGAGUCUCGCUCUAUCCCCCAGGCUGGAGUGCAUUGGCGCAGUCUCAGCUGCAACCUCCGCCUCCUGGUUCAAACGAGUCUCCUGCCUCAGCCUCCUGAGCAGAUGGGAUUACGGGCGCCCGCCACCAUGCCCGGCUAAUUUUUGUGUUUUUAGUAGAGAC
Molecule: long non-coding RNA, 2701 nt
Filed under: Homo sapiens (human)
Lineage: Eukaryota; Metazoa; Chordata; Mammalia; Primates; Hominidae
Description: HSALNT0384152
Source: RNAcentral